RNAcentral lists this ribosomal RNA (852 nucleotides) under Triticum aestivum (bread wheat). RNAcentral's name for it is "partial small subunit ribosomal RNA". Lineage: Eukaryota; Viridiplantae; Streptophyta; Magnoliopsida; Poales; Poaceae. The record is from RNAcentral.
AUGGCGCCGUCCUCGAAGCCGGCCAAGACGACGCCGCACAUCCUGCUGCUCCCCUACCCGGCGCAGGGCCACGUGAACCCGUUCCUUCGUCUGGCCAAGGCCCAGCACGCGCGGGGAUUCCACGUCACCUUCGUCCACACGGAGCACAACCAAGGCCGCCUCCUCCGCUCCCGCGGCCUCGGCGCCGUCACGGGCGCCGCCGACGGCUUCCGGUUCGAGACGAUCCCCGACGGGCUCCCCCGUUCCGAGCACGACGCUACGCAGGACAUCUGGGCGCUCUGCGAGGCCACGCGCCGGGCGUGUCCUGCCCACCUCAGGGAGCUCGUCGAGCGGCUCGGGAGGACGGAGGGGGUCCCGCCGGUCACCUGCGUCAUCGCCGACGGCGCCAUGGGGUUCGCGGUGCACGCGGCCAAGGACAUGGGGCUGCCGGCCUACCUCUUCUUCACCCCCAGCGCCUGCGGCUUCUUGUGCUACCUCAACUUCGAUCAGCUUGUCAAGCGAGGAUACGUGCCAUUCAAAGACUUCCGACGUUUCAGUCACCUAGUAUACGAUAGUGACAACAACAGGAGAAUGAAACUCUUUGGUCAGCUACUUCAGAAAGAUAAUGGUCCAACCCUCAACCCCCUCCUAACCUGUAGAAGUGAGGGUUGGGGAGCGAAAACUACCCCAACCCGCACCCGUGUUCCGGCUGAGCGCGGGAGGGAGUUUUCCCCGUCCCCAACCUCCCGCCCGCGCCCACCCGAGCCGCCGGCCGCCCCCCGCCUCCCCUCAACGCGCGAGGCCGCUGUAGCUGCGCCGCAGUCCUCGCCGCCGGAUCCGCCGUUCCCCGCCGCCUCCCGCCCCGCGCAGUAG